UCAGACGAUGCGUCAUGCAUAUCAAUAAGCGGAGGAAAAGAAACUAACAAGGAUUCCCCUAGUAACGGCGAGUGAAGCGGGAAGAGCUCAAAUUUGAAAUCUUCAAGGUUUGACCUUGACGAAUUGUAGUUUAAAGAAGUGUUUUCGGUUAGAGGAGUGGUAAAAGUUCUUUGGAAUAGGACAUCAUAGAGGGUGAGAAUCCCGUAUUUGACCAUUCUUUCUAGCUUUGUGAUACACUUUCAAAGAGUCGGAUUGUUUGGGAAUGCAGUCCAAAAUGGGUGGUAAAUUUCAUCUAAAGCUAAAUAUUGGCGAGAGACCGAUAGCGAACAAGUACCGUGAGGGAAAGAUGAAAAGAACUUUGAAAAGAGAGUUAAACAGUACGUGAAAUUGUCAAAAGGGAAGCGUUUGACACCAGUGUUGUUUUCUCGAAAAUCAAUUAAAAAGAGUUGGAUUUUGUGUUGUAUUGACCUUAACAGCUUGCUUCACUCUUUUCCUGCUUUUUUUAAUGCACUCUUCGUUUAACAAGUCAACAUCAGUUUCUUUUGUUGUAAAAGGGUCAUUGGAAGGUGGCUUUCUCUUCGGAGAAAGUGUUUAUAGCCUUUGAUCUCUGCAAUCGGAGAGACUGAGGUCUGCAGCGUAGAUCCUUCGGGGUUAGAUACAUUUGUGCUAAGCUACAGCUUUUCAUAGACAACUUGUUGACUAUGCUUAGUCUUGUAACUUACCCGCUUAUGCUAUUUUACCUACGCUUAGGAUGUUGAUAUGCAUGACUGAUAU
This 774-nucleotide ribosomal RNA is filed under the name uncultured Neocallimastigales. RNAcentral describes it as "partial large subunit ribosomal RNA". It matches the Rfam family "Eukaryotic large subunit ribosomal RNA", at positions 18 to 635 of the family's 3401-position model. Lineage: Eukaryota; Fungi; Neocallimastigomycota; Neocallimastigomycetes; Neocallimastigales. The record is from RNAcentral.